GUGGUUGGGAGCCGAGGUUUUGUUUGCCGGUGAUUUCGAGUUGAGGACAAAAAGGACUCUGUGAGGCGUUUGGGUUAUGGAAUUGCGUUUUGAGGAUAUGGGCGCAGAAGUUAUGAAGAGCUUAUUUAAUUGUUGUUGUGAUG
Arachis ipaensis is the source of this 143-nucleotide non-coding RNA. NCBI's taxonomy places the organism in Eukaryota, Viridiplantae, Streptophyta, Magnoliopsida, Fabales, Fabaceae. The record is from RefSeq and is a predicted model, not a curated record.